Molecule: ribosomal RNA, 467 nt
Filed under: uncultured bacterium
Lineage: Bacteria
Description: partial 16S ribosomal RNA
Rfam family: Bacterial small subunit ribosomal RNA
Source: RNAcentral
GACGAACGCUGGCGGCGUGCUUAACACAUGCAAGUCGAACGGUGACGCCCUGGCUUGUUGGGGUGGUUCAGUGGCGAACGGGUGAGUAACACGUGAGUAACCUGCCCCUGACUCUGGGAUAAGCUCAGGAAACGGAGUCUAAUACUGGAUACGAGAUAGUUCCGCAUGGGGGGUUUGUGGAAGGUUUUUCGGUUGGGGAUGGACUGGCGGCCUAUCAGCUUGUUGGUGGGGUAGUGGCUUACCAAGGCGAGGACGGGUAGCCGGCUGGGGAGGGCGACCGGCCAGACGGGGACUGAGUCACGCCCCGGACUCCUACGUGCGGCAGCGGGGGGGAAGAUGGCACAGGGGACGAAGGCCGGAGUCAGCCACCCCGGGUGGGGGAGAACGGCCUUCGGUUGGGAAACCACUUUCAUCAGGGCGGAAUGUUAAGGAACGUAACGGGCAAAAAAGCCCCGGCUAACUUCGUG